RNAcentral lists this ribosomal RNA (471 nucleotides) under uncultured bacterium. RNAcentral's name for it is "bacterial SSU rRNA". It matches the Rfam family "Bacterial small subunit ribosomal RNA", at positions 36 to 507 of the family's 1533-position model. The record is from RNAcentral.
CUGGCGGCGUGCUUAAUACAUGCAAGUCAACUUGACUUUAGAUAGCAAUAUCGAAAGUAGGGUGGCGCACGGGUGCGUAACGCGUAGGUAAUCUGCCCUGAGGUCUGACAUAACCCGUCGAAAGGCGGGCUAACAUCAGAUGAUAUAUAAUCACGACAUCGUGGAAAUAUCAAAUCUUCGGAGCCUUGGGAUGAGCCUGCGUCUGAUUAGGUAGUUGGCGGAGUAAUAGCCCACCAAGCCUACGAUCAGUAGCUGGUCUGAGAGGAUGAUCAGCCACACUGGAACUGAGACACGGUCCAGACUCCUACGGGAGGCAGCAGUAAGGAAUAUUGCUCAAUGGGGGAAACCCUGAAGCAGCAACGCCGCGUGAAGGAUGAAAUACUUUUGUAUGUAAACUUCUGUAAGAUGGGAAAAAUAUUCUCCUCGGGAGAAUUGAUUGUACCAUCAGAGUAAGCCCCGGCUAACUACGUG